Molecule: long non-coding RNA, 463 nt
Organism: Alligator sinensis (Chinese alligator)
Lineage: Eukaryota; Metazoa; Chordata; Crocodylia; Alligatoridae
Exons: 3
Source: RefSeq, a predicted model, not a curated record
UGGUGUGAGAGGGGCUUUUGGAGCACACCCUGUAAUUAAAUAAUGAGAGAAGCUUGAAGGCCUCAUUUUCAUAGCCUUGGUCAAACAGCUGCUCGGGGCGUCCCUGCAGAUGUGGGAGCAAACCUCUGUUUUCAAAGCACAGGAAAAUCUCGGUUGGCAAGCGGCAGCAGAGGGCACAUGACACACAGAUCCUGGCACACCCUUCUCAGCAAGGUUAACAAGUCCACACGUAACUAUGAGAUGUCUUCUCCAUGCAAGAAGGCCUGAAUCCUGUCGCCUCUCGGACGCCUCAUUGAUGAACUAGACUCAGUUAACUCGUUCGGUGUUACCUCUUGAGCCUUGUUCUUCAGCCCCUGGCUUGCUUUUCUGAUCUAAUGAUGUUCCUCAGCAGUGUAACGUGGGGUGGGUGAGAGGGGGCCCGAAUGACAGCCUCCAGGGAGCCCGUAUUUGAGCUUGCAUUGAG